GAUGAACGCUAGCUACAGGCUUAACACAUGCAAGUCGAGGGGCAGCAUGAACUUAGCUUGCUAAGUUUGAUGGCGACCGGCGCACGGGUGAGUAACACGUAUCCAACCUUCCGUUUACUCAGGGAUAGCCUUUCGAAAGAAAGAUUAAUACCUGAUAGUAUGGUGAGAUUGCAUGAUAACACCAUUAAAGAUUUAUUGGUAAACGAUGGGGAUGCGUUCCAUUAGGUAGUAGGCGGGGUAACGGCCCACCUAGCCGACGAUGGAUAGGGGUUCUGAGAGGAAGGUCCCCCACAUUGGAACUGAGACACGGUCCAAACUCCUACGGGAGGCAGCAGUGAGGAAUAUUGGUCAAUGGGCGAGAGCCUGAACCAGCCAAGUAGCGUGAAGGAUGAAGGUCCUACGGAUUGUAAACUUCUUUUAUACGGGAAUAAAGUAUCCUACGUGUAGGAUUUUGUAUGUACCGUAUGAAUAAGCAUCGGCUAACUCCGUGCCAGCAGCC
Molecule: ribosomal RNA, 499 nt
Filed under: uncultured bacterium
Lineage: Bacteria
Description: bacterial SSU rRNA
Rfam family: Bacterial small subunit ribosomal RNA
Source: RNAcentral